RNAcentral lists this long non-coding RNA (336 nucleotides) under Amborella trichopoda. Its description in RNAcentral is "long non-coding RNA (ATRI_LNC003063)". The record is from RNAcentral. Lineage: Eukaryota; Viridiplantae; Streptophyta; Magnoliopsida; Amborellales; Amborellaceae.
GAGGAGGAGCCAGUGUUGCACAAGAGAGCGUUCCUUGAGGCUAUCGGUGAUGAAGAUAUUGAAGAAAGUGAUGAGCAGCAUGAAAGAGGAAGCAGCCAGCCAAUGUAUCCACAAUAUGUCGGUGAUAUUGCACCUAAUGAGGGAGAGUGGGAAGGGGGUCUAAGAGAAAAUGAGAGAGAUGAUGAUUCUGAGGCCACCCUAUCCCAGCCAUUUUAUUCACAUAUCGAGUCCCAACAGCAACAGUGUAGGGAUGAGCACGACAGUGCAGGUGAGCAUGAAGGAUGGACAAGCUUCGGGGAUUUUGGAUUGGGAACACAACAAAACACUAACACUCAG